GCUACACGCUCCAGGCUGGGGCCCGGCCCUCCCGGCCUUAGUUUCUUCCCUUCCCUCAGUGGCCUGGACCAGGGCGGAGGGGUGGAAACGACCUACCCCAGAGACGGAGGGAAGACUAGGAUGAUACCUGGACGGCAGAGACAGCAGUGAUCCAGUUCCAGUCCCACUUCCUCAACUGCCGGCUGGUGGUUUCCACCUGCAUGUGCUCAUCUCUUUACUCAUGCCCUAAGGACUCAACACCAGUGCCUGAUAGGAUCUACUGAGGAUGCUGAAACUCACUUGAUAGAUGUUCAAGCUCCCCACGCCUUCUCCAGCUGGUGGUCAGUAUUCUUAGGUCCAGCAUACCACCCACCAAGCAUCCUUGCCCGACUGACUAAGUGUUUUGUACCUGGACAAUUCAAAAGGGAAUGCGGAGGUUGCUCUAGCCUGUAUCUCCUCCUCUGGGCAGACCCAUAUCUCUGGGAUUCCACCAGCUCUUCUGACUAUGCCUCCUGUGUUCCCCACUCCCCGCUGUCAGGAAGCCCUUCCUUUUGCCCACUUUACAUCACUCACAUUGACGUUUGACCUCCACAUGGAAUUCCAAUGUGCCCCCGUUUUGUGACCAGGACUAGGCCCCCUUGACAUCUACGAGCUCAUGUGUACAUGGGGUAACUCUGAUAAAGCCAGCAUUAUUAUGCUUCUGCU
This 684-nucleotide long non-coding RNA is filed under the name Homo sapiens (human). Its description in RNAcentral is "non-protein coding lnc-MEGF11-1:3". The record is from RNAcentral. Lineage: Eukaryota; Metazoa; Chordata; Mammalia; Primates; Hominidae.